UACGGAGGGGGCAAGCGUUAUUCGGAAUUAUUGGGCGUAAAGGGCGCGUAGGCGGCUAGAUGUGUCAAAGGUGAAAUCCCUCGGCUCAACUGAGGAACUGCCUUUGAAACUGUCUGGCUUGAGGCCGGGAGAGGGUAGCGGAAUUCCCAGUGUAGCGGUGAAAUGCGUAGAUAUUGGGAGGAACACCAGUGGCGAAGGCGGCUACCUGGACCGGAACUGACGCUGAGGCGCGAAAGCGUGGGUAGCAAACAGG
This 253-nucleotide ribosomal RNA is filed under the name uncultured bacterium. RNAcentral describes it as "partial 16S ribosomal RNA". It matches the Rfam family "Bacterial small subunit ribosomal RNA", at positions 524 to 776 of the family's 1533-position model. The record is from RNAcentral.